Molecule: ribosomal RNA, 433 nt
Filed under: uncultured bacterium
Lineage: Bacteria
Description: partial 16S ribosomal RNA
Rfam family: Bacterial small subunit ribosomal RNA
Source: RNAcentral
GGGGGGGGGGGGGGGCGGGGCUGGCGGAGGCGGGGCGGGCGAGGGCGGCGGGUCGGGUGGCGCGCGGGUGCGUCACGCGUGGGAACCUGCCCUUAGGUUCGGAAUAACUCCCCGCAAGGGGUGCUAAUACCGGAUCAUGUCUUCGGACCACAGAUUUAUCGCCUUUGGAUGGGCCCGCGUUGGAUUAGCUAGUUGUUAGGGUAACAGCCUACCCCGGCGACGAUCCAUAUCUGGGCUGAGAGACUGAUCAGCCACACUGGGACUGAGACACGGCCCAGACUCCUACGGGAGGCAGCAGUGGGGAAUAUUGGACAAUGGGCGAAAGCCUGAUCCAGCAAUGCCGCGUGAGUGAUGAAGGCCUUAGGGUUGUAAAGCUCUUUUACCCGGGAUGAUAAUGACAGUACCGGGAGAAUAAGCGCCGGCUAACUCCGUG